UAUAGUUUUUACAUAUGUAUUUAUAAUGGGCUGGGAUAGGUUAAGGAGAUAAGGUAUUUUUUAACUGUAGUUUUAAAAAUGCUGCUAGAUGAAACAGUGGUUCUGGAGAUUUCUGGCAGAGAGUUCCAGAUUUUGAACCCUUUUAUGUACAUUGAGUUAUUGAAAAGAUUUAACCUGCCAUGGGGAAUGUCAUAGAGAUUGUUGUGCCUAGUAUUAUGUCUAUGGGUCCUAUUGCAACUGUCAAGAAAGCGUUUCAGGUCGAGAUUUAUAUUAAAAUUUAUUGUUCUGUAAAUGUAGGUUACACAGUAGUAUGAGUGAAUGUUUUGUAUAGUGAGUAGAUUUAGGUCUUUGAAGAGUGUGGGGGGUGUUAUCUAGCAGUGGAUUGUGUAAUCAUUCACACCACAGCUUUUUGUUGAGUUAUUAUUGGUUUUAGGUAAUUUGUUGUUGUGGAUCCCCAGACACAAAUAGCAUAGGUGAGGUAAGGGUAGAUCAGUGAAUAGUAUAGUAUAAGUAAUGCUUCAUUCAUUCGUGUUGAUUCUCCGGUACUUCCGGCCCGGGUCUUCUCCAGAUGGUGACCCGGCAGUGGCCCCCCCGGGUGGGGGGUGUUGUUAAUCUUCUUUCUUCUUUCUUGGGCCCUCUGGUUGGAGGGUGUCUUCUAUCUUGCGUUGACUCCCCAGGAGGAAAGUGUCUUCUCGCUUCAGAAGUGCAGUCGGGCAGAGGCAGCAAUUAAAGGGUCGAUUGGAGCCACACCCCAGCUUUAGCAGACAGCAAAGUGCUGGGGAAACUUAUCUCUUUGGUGUGAGGUUGUCCGUGCCAGAGAGAGAAUAGACCUGGAGCUGGAGUGUGAUGCUGAGGCUGCUAAGAAAACGCAGUCCAGACCUGACUCCAGCACGUGAGCCAGGCACUGCUGACCACCUGUCAUGAUGGUUGGCACUGCUGACCACCUGUUAUGAAGAUGGUUGGCACUCCUGGCCACCUGUUAUGAUAGUUGGCACAUUGACCACCUGUCAUGAUGGUUAGCACUGUUGACCACGUGUCAUGCUGACAGUUAUUGAGUCGCCACACCUUGAAUGACUGUGAUGUCGCCACAUUUUCUGAAACAUGGCGAUUGAAUUAAUAGUAGUAAAUGUGAUCAAUAAGCAGCUAAAAGGCCAUAAGCAGGGGUUAGGUAGUUGCUCAGGGCCUUUCACGUUGUCUUCAAUACUUUAUCAGGUGCUUGCAAUAUGAGCACUGGUGUAUGUGUACUCGCCUGUAUGUGAUGUGUGUGUGUGUUCGUGUGCACACACGUGGACAUGUAUGUGGGUUUAUGACUUGUUAUCAAAUAUUUGCAUAAAACAAAAUUUAACUUAGUGGUUUUUUAUAAUAAAUCUAUCAUAAACUGUAGCAAUAAAGUGAUAAGUUAAUAAAAAUAAUAAAGCUGGUGUUCCAGUGUCUAGAUUUACAUAUAUAAGUGUAAAACUGUAAAUAAAUUUAAUUUUUGUAAAUGAA
Molecule: non-coding RNA, 1488 nt
Organism: Cherax quadricarinatus
Lineage: Eukaryota; Metazoa; Arthropoda; Malacostraca; Decapoda; Parastacidae
Source: RefSeq, a predicted model, not a curated record